Molecule: transfer RNA, 72 nt
Filed under: Camelus bactrianus (Bactrian camel)
Lineage: Eukaryota; Metazoa; Chordata; Mammalia; Artiodactyla; Camelidae
Also listed under: 1 other name
Rfam family: tRNA
About the family: Transfer RNA (tRNA) molecules are approximately 80 nucleotides in length.
Source: Rfam by way of RNAcentral
GUGGGUAUAGCUCAGUGGUAGAGUAUGUGCUUAGCAUGCAUGAGGUCCGGAGUUCAAGUCCCAGUACCUCCA